AAGUCAUCAUGGCCCUUAUGUCCUAGGGCGACCACACGUGCUACAAUGGCCGGCACAGCGGGAAGCGAGGCAGUGAUGCCAAGCGGAUCCCUUAAAGCCGGUCUACAGUUCGGAUUGAAGUCUGCAACUCGACUUCAUGAAGCUGGAAUCGCUAGUAAUCGCAGAUCAGCCAAGCUGCGGUGAAUACGUUCCCGGGCCUU
Molecule: ribosomal RNA, 200 nt
Filed under: uncultured Thermanaerovibrio sp.
Lineage: Bacteria; Thermotogati; Synergistota; Synergistia; Synergistales; Synergistaceae
Description: partial 16S ribosomal RNA
Rfam family: Bacterial small subunit ribosomal RNA
Source: RNAcentral